Molecule: ribosomal RNA, 384 nt
Filed under: uncultured prokaryote
Description: bacterial SSU rRNA
Rfam family: Archaeal small subunit ribosomal RNA
Source: RNAcentral
GCGAAAACUUUACAAUGCUGGCAACAGCGAUAAGGGAACCUCGAGUGCCAGAUUACAAAUCUGGCUGUCGAGAUGCCUAAAAAGCAUUUCAUAGCAAGGGCCGGGCAAGACCGGUGCCAGCAGCCGCGGUAACACCGGCGGCUCGAGUGGUAACCGUUAUUAUUGGGUCUAAAGGGUCUGUAGCCGGCCGGAUAAGUCUCUUGAGAAAUCUGGCAGCUGAACUGUCAGGCUUUCAGGAGAUACUGUCUGGCUCGAGGCCGGGAGAGGUGAGAGGUACUUCAGGGGUAGGGGUGAAAUCUUGUAAUCCUUGAAGGACCACCAGUGGCGAAGGCGUCUCACCAGAACGGACCUGACGGCAAGGGACGAAAGCUAGGGGCACGAGCC